Molecule: long non-coding RNA, 859 nt
Organism: Helianthus annuus (common sunflower)
Lineage: Eukaryota; Viridiplantae; Streptophyta; Magnoliopsida; Asterales; Asteraceae
Exons: 3
Source: RefSeq, a predicted model, not a curated record
AUGACAUGCAUGCCCCUCAUUUGUCUUAUUUAUCUGUACCUUUCUUUCAUCAACCUAUCAAACCCUCAGCUCUCUCAUGAGACUCACCCACUGACCUAUCUCUUCUCCCUCUCGCUGAAAUCCGACCACUGGAACUCCGUCUCCGACGACAUAUUGGUCCGACAAACACCCACCAGCAUCACCCCCCACUCACCUGGUUACCCUCUCUAAAUGAAACGGCUGGCCACCACCACCGUCUGGUGCCGGCGCGGCGACGAGGAGAGAGAGACUCAGAGAUAGACGAAGAGAGAGAGGGAGAGAGUGGCGUAAGAGAGGAAGAGACCGAGGAGGAGAGACGGUGGAGGUUGAUGACGGCGGCAGCGCCGCCGUACACGGUGGCAGGUGACAUACGACGGUGAUGGAUGUACGAGCCUCUCCGAUUGGGCUAGGAAUCGGAAACGCCUAAGAGAAAUAUUAGAAUGGAAACUGCCUGGUUCGGUGGGAUCACUAACACAAUGUUCUAUAAAGAGGAAUCGCAACGCUCAAACGUAUAACCUCUACCUCAAUUUGACCGAAGAAUUCGUCUCACAACUCACACCCGCGGUUUUCUUCCUCUUCCGUCAUCCGUGGGCUGUUAAAAGUCUCCGCUCUUCUACUCAAUCAGGAUCUGUGAAGCCCUGAUUAUUCUCCAUGUCUGUUCAUUGCUUCCAUUAACAUGUACCCAUUAGAUAACAAACUUCUAUUUUUUCUUUUUAUUAAUUCUCAAGAGUUAGGGUUUUUCUUUCUUCAUCAAGUUCAUUUAGAUCGAUGCAGCAAUCAAUUACCGUUCUAAUUCCACAUUGAUUAUGAUUAGAUAUUUGUUGCUUCAGUUAUGAUUAGA